GAGUCACUUCUCUCCAAGAAGCAUCUGGGCUGAUGUGAGCUGAGACCACAACAGCUUUAAGAAUGAGUCCGAGCCUGGGAAGCUGCACUUUUUACCUAUUUCAUUACCGAGACGUUUGCACAAAGAACUUCACAGCAAGACGGUGGUGCUUUUGUGACAUGUAGUAAGGCGUUCUGACUGCCAUCGGCUAAGCCCGCAUGAGCGAGAUGGAGUGGCCAGUGGCGUCCUUGGCACCCAGGGUCCCCUGCCAAUAUGAUUAAAUAACAUCCACGUGAUCCAACUGGAGGCUCCUGGGCGUGUGACCAGACGGGGCUGCAGCAUAGAGGAUCAAAGCCCAGAAGCCACAGGACACUUGCACCAGUGACAUCAGGAGGCACCUGCUGGUGUUUUGACCUUUCCACAGAAGAACACAAAAUAAACUCCCGAGUUUCUCCAAGUGGUUGUGGGUCUCCAAGACAGUCCCAGGUUCUUGCUGCCCGGUGGUCACACUGCUUCUGUGUCCUGUGUGACUGAGAGGAGGCUGAGAUAAAGUGAUCACGAGCUCCUCCAGGGCUGCACCGAGGAUGCACCGAGGAUGCACGUCUCCCACUUUGUGGAUCCCAGGCCCAUCGCAGCCUUCCCAUAACAUCACCCUGGCUGACACCUGCACUGUGACCUCCGUUGUAAGAAGCAGGACCAAAACCACCCUAGCCCCCACACUACAGCUAGCAUCACUAGAUAGAGUGGGAUGCGCUGUGGUUUUGAUCCAGUGGCUCCGAGAGCCUCAUGUGUUUGCAUGGCAAUCAGAUACCCCCAGGAGGGGGCCCUACUGGGCAUGCAGUGAAUGCACUGUUAGGGGCGGUGUCUGGCGGAAGAGGAACAUCAUGGGCGCCGUGACCCGGAAGCGUUUAUCUCCCUUCUGCCUCCUCCCUUCUCCACUUCCGUGACCCGGAAGGGUUUAUCUCCCUUCUGCCUCCUCCCUUCUCCACUUCCUGACUGCAGUGCCUGAGCAGCUCUCUUCUCCCCCAGGCCCUUCCUCCAUGCAUUUCAGUAUUUGAGCCAACCAUGGACUGAAUCGUCUAAAACCGUGAGCCCAAAAUAAACCUCUUUUAACUGUGGGUGUCAGGUAUUCUAGCCCAGUGACAAGAAAGUGACCAAGACAGUAUGUUUCAAAGAUGUAACUAAAAGCUAAUUUAGAGGCUAAACUUAGAACCAGCUAAGAUGCCCUCCAAUAGGUAAAUGAACAAAUAAACUCUGCUAACCAUGGAACGUUACUUAGCAAUGACAAGAAAUGAGCCAGCAAGCCAUGAAAACACACAGAGGAAACCAAAAUGCACAUUAAUAAGUGAUCGAAGCCAGUCUGAAAAGCUUGCAUACUAUGACGCCAACUCCACGACACACCAGGAAGGCAACACUCAGCCCAAGGAGUUGAAUAGAUGAGAGCAUAGGAUAUUCGGGGGAGAGACAUUAUUGUGGGGACACCAGGAUGGUGGAGACUUGUCGGUAUUUGUUUGUUCAAACCCACAGAAUGUGCAACGCACCAAGAGUAAAUCCCAGAGCAAACCCCGGCCCUAGGUGGUGCUGAUACCUCAGUACUGGUUCCUCACCGUGACAAACGCACACAUUUAC
Molecule: long non-coding RNA, 1608 nt
Filed under: Cavia porcellus (domestic guinea pig)
Lineage: Eukaryota; Metazoa; Chordata; Mammalia; Rodentia; Caviidae
Description: lncRNA (ENSCPOG00000037860.1)
Source: RNAcentral